UCACUGGGAGAGACGGGAAGUUG
Molecule: microRNA, 23 nt
Filed under: Bombyx mori (domestic silkworm)
Lineage: Eukaryota; Metazoa; Arthropoda; Insecta; Lepidoptera; Bombycidae
Description: bmo-miR-3407
Source: miRBase by way of RNAcentral